This is a long non-coding RNA of Drosophila albomicans, 239 nucleotides long. RefSeq lists it as uncharacterized. The record is from RefSeq and is a predicted model, not a curated record. The transcript is spliced from 2 exons. Lineage: Eukaryota; Metazoa; Arthropoda; Insecta; Diptera; Drosophilidae.
CGGCAAUGAAUCGAAAUUUGUAUCGUCUUCGAACCAAGGAAUAGAAGAGAAAGAGCGGAGCAAUAAAUCGCAAUAUGAAGAUCUUCCACGAGGCAAAAGGUUGGCCCAGCAUAAACUCAAUGUCUCGCUGGAAUCGCUCUCGACCAUAGAUCCAAAGCACUGCCAUUAUCAACAUAAAGUGCAUAACGCUGUAAGUGACUAACGAGUCAACGGAUACGGCGGAAAAAAACAAAACACCG